This 467-nucleotide ribosomal RNA is filed under the name uncultured bacterium. Its description in RNAcentral is "partial 16S ribosomal RNA". It matches the Rfam family "Bacterial small subunit ribosomal RNA", at positions 28 to 507 of the family's 1533-position model. The record is from RNAcentral.
GACGAACGCUGGCGGCGUGCUUAACACAUGCAAGUCGAACGGAAAGGCCUCUUUCGGGGGGUACUCGAGUGGCGAACGGGUGAGUAACACGUGAGUAACCUGCCCUUGACUUUGGGAUAACUUCAGGAAACUGGGGCUAAUACCGGAUAGGAGCUCCUGCUGCAUGGUGGGGGUUGGAAAGUUUCGGCGGUUGGGGAUGGACUCGCGGCUUAUCAGCUUGUUGGUGGGGUAGUGGCUUACCAAGGCUUUGCCGGGUAGCCGGCCUGAGAGGGUGACCGGCGACAUUGGGACUGGUAUACGGCCCAGACUCCGACGGGAGGAAGCAGUGGGGAAGAUUGCACAAUGGGUGGAAGCCUGAUGCAGCAACGCCGGGUGCGGGAGGACGGCCUUCGGGUUGUAAACCGCUUUCGCUCAUGACGAAGCUUUGUGUGACGGUAGUGGGUAAAGAAGCACCGGCUAACUACGUG